This 611-nucleotide ribosomal RNA is filed under the name Hansenula anomala. RNAcentral describes it as "eukaryotic LSU rRNA". It matches the Rfam family "Eukaryotic large subunit ribosomal RNA", at positions 38 to 662 of the family's 3401-position model. Lineage: Eukaryota; Fungi; Ascomycota; Saccharomycetes; Phaffomycetales; Wickerhamomycetaceae. The record is from RNAcentral.
GCAUAUCAAUAAGCGGAGGAAAAGAAACCAACAGGGAUUGCCUCAGUAACGGCGAGUGAAGCGGCAAAAGCUCAAAUUUGAAAUCUAGCACCUUCGGUGUUCGAGUUGUAAUUUGAAGAUGGUAACCUUGGGUUUGGCUCUUGUCUAUGUUCCUUGGAACAGGACGUCAUAGAGGGUGAGAAUCCCGUCUGAUGAGAUGCCCAUUCCUAUGUAAGGUGCUAUCGAAGAGUCGAGUUGUUUGGGAAUGCAGCUCUAAGUGGGUGGUAAAUUCCAUCUAAAGCUAAAUAUUGGCGAGAGACCGAUAGCGAACAAGUACAGUGAUGGAAAGAUGAAAAGAACUUUGAAAAGAGAGUGAAAAAGUACGUGAAAUUGUUGAAAGGGAAGGGCAUUAGAUCAGACUUGGUGUUUUACGAUUAUCUUCUCUUCUUGAGUUGUGCACUCGUAUUUCACUGGGCCAGCAUCGAUUCGGAUGGCAAGAUAAUGGCAGUUGAAUGUGGCUUCACUUCGGUGGAGUGUUAUAGCUUCUGCUGAUAUUGCCUGUCUGGAUCGAGGGCUGCGUCUUUUGACUAGGAUGCUGGCGUAAUGAUCUAAUGCCGCCCGUCUUGAAACAC